Molecule: ribosomal RNA, 253 nt
Filed under: uncultured bacterium
Lineage: Bacteria
Description: partial 16S ribosomal RNA
Rfam family: Bacterial small subunit ribosomal RNA
Source: RNAcentral
UACAGAGGGUGCGAGCGUUAUUCGGAAUUACUGGGCGUAAAGCGCGCGUAGGCGGCUUUGCAAGUCGGGUGUGAAAUCCCCAGGCUUAACCUGGGAACUGCAUUCGAGACUGCAUUGCUAGAGUAUGGGAGAGGGAAGUGGAAUUUCCGGUGUAGCGGUGAAAUGCGUAGAUAUCGGAAGGAACAUCAGUGGCGAAGGCGACUACCUGGGCCAAUACUGACGCUCAGGUGCGAAAGCGUGGGGAGCGAACAGG